This 444-nucleotide ribosomal RNA is filed under the name uncultured bacterium. RNAcentral describes it as "bacterial SSU rRNA". It matches the Rfam family "Bacterial small subunit ribosomal RNA", at positions 330 to 792 of the family's 1533-position model. The record is from RNAcentral.
GCCAGACUCCUACGGGAGGCAGCAGUGGGGAAUAUUGCACAAUGGGGGGAACCCUGAUGCAGCGAUGCCGCGUGGAGGAAGAAGGUUUUCGGAUUGUAAACUCCUUUUAUCAGGGACGAUAAUGACGGUACCUGAAGAAAAAGCUCCGGCUAACUACGUGCCAGCAGCCGCGGUAAUACGGAGGAUGCGAGCGUUAUCCGGAUUUAUUGGGUUUAAAGGGUGCGCAGGCGGCACGGCAAGCCGGCGGUCAAAUCGCGGGGCUCAACCCCGCCCAGCCGUCGGAACUGCCGGGCUAGAGUGGGCGAGAAGUGCGCGGAAUGCGUGGUGUAGCGGUGAAAUGCAUAGAUAUCACGCAGAACUCCGAUUGCGAAGGCAGCGCACCGGCGCCCUACUGACGCUCAGGCACGAAAGCGUGGGUAUCGAACAGGAUUAGAUACCCCCGUA